Molecule: unclassified non-coding RNA, 239 nt
Filed under: uncultured fungus
Lineage: Eukaryota; Fungi
Description: partial contains 5.8S ribosomal RNA, internal transcribed spacer 2, and large subunit ribosomal RNA
Source: RNAcentral
AACGCACAUUGCGCCCCCUGGUAUUCCGGGGGGCACGCCUGUCCGAGCGCCAUUACACCCCCCAAGCCUUGCUUGACGUUGGGCGGUGAUGUGCCAAUCACGCCCCAAACUUCAGGGCGCCCCUCCCCGGCCGCGAGCGUAGCAAGCAUUUCGUUCCGCGUGUCCGGUGGGUGGCUGCCCGCGAGAAUCACUUUCUAAGGUUUGGCCUCGGAUCAGGCGGGGAUACCCGCUGAACUUAA